UCUUUAAUUCGGAAAUCGAGACCAGUUUUGGUCGGAUCUGUGACCGCUCAGAGUUGAAGGUCAAGAUUGUCAACCAUGAGUCAAAAUUUGAAGGGGCAUACCUCGUAAUUAAAUCAACAUCACAGGGCGGUAUUCAACAACUCCCCGUAUAUAAUCCCCCCAAGAUGGAAUGAGCUUUCGACUCAGGUUUCAGGAUACAGCCCAAAUCAAAGCUUUGCUUCUUUCAUUAUCUUUAUAGUUUUUUGAUCUUUGUGGAGAGAGGGAGAGAGAAUAGAAAGAUGGCAGGCGCAGGAACGGCUAUGAUCAACAAUAGGAAGGGUUCAAGAAGAAGGUUUUCUGGCCGUCCAAUCCCAAAGAGAGGGCAGGUGAAGGUGGCUAUAGUGGUGGGUUUGGCUCACUCUGUUGCUUCUUUUUUCUCUUUCAGUAGUAGACGAGCAGGACCUCCUUCUCGUCUCACUUUUCUUAGUAUUUGUUAGUUCAGUAGACCCAAUUUUGGAUGUUCUUUUGUAAGAGAGAGAUGUUUUGUUGUGAGUUAGAGGCAGCCUGUUGUACAAAGGAA
RNAcentral lists this unclassified non-coding RNA (559 nucleotides) under Hevea brasiliensis (rubber tree). Lineage: Eukaryota; Viridiplantae; Streptophyta; Magnoliopsida; Malpighiales; Euphorbiaceae. The record is from RNAcentral.